CCUACGGGGGGCUGCAGUCGAGAAUCUUCGGCAAUGGGGGCAACCCUGACCGAGCGACGCCGCGUGCGAGAUGAAGGCCUUCGGGUUGUAAAUCGCUGUCAGUGGGGAGGAAAUGCUGGUGGGUUCUCCCAUCAGUUUGACCUAUCCGCAGAGGAAGGACGGGCUAAGUUCGUGCCAGCAGCCGCGGUAAGACGAACCGUCGAAACGUUAUUCGGAAUCACUGGCGUUGACGGGUGCGUAGGUGGCCCGUGAAAUCCCUCGGCUCAACCGAGGAAUUGCGCCCAAAACUGCCGGGCUUGAGGGAGACAGAGGUGAGCGGAACUUAGGGUGGAGCGGUGAAAUGCGUUGAUAUCCUAGGGAACACCAGUAGCGAAAGCGGCUCACUGGGUCUCUUCUGACGCUGAUGCACGAAAGCUAGGGGAGCGAAGAGGAUUAGAUACCCCGGUAGUC
RNAcentral lists this ribosomal RNA (450 nucleotides) under uncultured bacterium. RNAcentral describes it as "partial 16S ribosomal RNA". It matches the Rfam family "Bacterial small subunit ribosomal RNA", at positions 338 to 795 of the family's 1533-position model. The record is from RNAcentral.